This 513-nucleotide ribosomal RNA is filed under the name uncultured bacterium. RNAcentral's name for it is "bacterial SSU rRNA". It matches the Rfam family "Bacterial small subunit ribosomal RNA", at positions 996 to 1509 of the family's 1533-position model. The record is from RNAcentral.
CUUAGCAGAGAUGCUUUGGUGCCUUCGGGAACUCUGAGACAGGUGCUGCAUGGCUGUCGUCAGCUCGUGUUGUGAAAUGUUGGGUUAAGUCCCGCAACGAGCCGCAACCCUUAUCCUUUGUUGCCAGCGGUUAGGCCGGGAACUCAAAGGAGACUGCCAGUGAUAAACUGGAGGAAGGUGGGAUGACGUCAAGUCAUCAUGGCCCUUACGAGUAGGGCUACACACGUGCUACAAUGGCGCAUACAAAGAGAAGCGACCUCGCGAGAGCAAGCGGACCUCAUAAAGUGCGUCGUAGUCCGGAUUGGAGUCUGCAACUCGACUCCAUGAAGUCGGAAUCGCUAGUAAUCGUGGAUCAGAAUGCCACGGUGAAUACGUUCCCGGGCCUUGUACACACCGCCCGUCACACCAUGGGAGUGGGUUGCAAAAGAAGUAGGUAGCUUAACCUUCGGGAGGGCGCUUACCACUUUGUGAUUCAUGACUGGGGUGAAGUCGUAACAAGGUAAGCGUAGUGCU